AUUGAACGCUGGCGGCAGGCUUAACACAUGCAAGUCGAGCGGGGAAAGGUAGCUUGCUACCUAACCUAGCGGCGGACGGGUGAGUAAUGCUUAGGAAUCUGCCUAUUAGUGGGGGACAACAUCCCGAAAGGGAUGCUAAUACCGCAUACGUCCUACGGGAGAAAGCAGGGGACCUUCGGGCCUUGCGCUAAUAGAUGAGCCUAAGUCGGAUUAGCUAGUUGGUGGGGUAAAGGCCUACCAUGGCGACGAUCUGUAGCGGGUCUGAGAGGAUGAUCCGCCACACUGGGACUGAGACACGGCCCAGACUCCUACGGGAGGCAGCAGUGGGGAAUAUUGGACAAUGGGGGGAACCCUGAUCCAGCCAUGCCGCGUGUGUGAAGAAGGCCUUUUGGUUGUAAAGCACUUUAAGCGAGGAGGAGGCUACCGAGAUUAAUACUCUUGGAUAGUGGACGUUACUCGCAGAAUAAGCACCGGCUAACUCUGUG
Molecule: ribosomal RNA, 485 nt
Filed under: uncultured bacterium
Lineage: Bacteria
Description: partial 16S ribosomal RNA
Rfam family: Bacterial small subunit ribosomal RNA
Source: RNAcentral